UAUAUAAAAGAUAUAAUAGGGCUAAAAUUUUUAAUCCGGCUUAAUUAUUUUGAGCGGUGACUAAACCCAAGAUGGUAAAAGAGUUAAGCGUGUUAGGUCGAGAAUUGUCAUAAGAUGGGUGACUCACUGGGAAGUUGGGGCAUUAUAGUUGGUAUCAUAACUAAUUACCAGUUGGAAGAGAAUUAUACAGUAGAAAGAGCGAGACUCUUAUAUUAAUAUUGACUGUUGUGGGUGGAGCGCAACUCCCCAUAUGAUUGAUUUAGACUAAUAAGACGAGUCUCACAUCGUCUAAUACUUAUGAGUCUAAACCUGACGAUAAACGUUAGAGAUUAAGGGAGGAGGAUGUGAGAUCCCAAAUAAUUUUAUAUAUAAAAAAUAAUAUGACUAAAAUUCUUAAUCCGAUUUAAAUAUUUUAGGCAUGAAUAGACUCAAAAGGUUAAUAAAGUUAAGCGUGUUAGGACGAAACUAGUCCUAGGAUGGAUGACCUCUGAAAAGUUGGGCAUCACGUGGUGUUUCCAAAUUAAUCAAAAAAAUUUUCUAAAAUUCACCAGUUCCAUCAUUACUUUUAUUAUAUUUUUAAAAAUAUAUAUACAAUUAAUUAGAAAUAAAUAAUAUAAUAUAA
Molecule: long non-coding RNA, 622 nt
Filed under: Ananas comosus (pineapple)
Lineage: Eukaryota; Viridiplantae; Streptophyta; Magnoliopsida; Poales; Bromeliaceae
Description: long non-coding RNA (ACOM_LNC002997)
Source: RNAcentral